This 497-nucleotide ribosomal RNA is filed under the name uncultured bacterium. Its description in RNAcentral is "partial 16S ribosomal RNA". It matches the Rfam family "Bacterial small subunit ribosomal RNA", at positions 28 to 507 of the family's 1533-position model. The record is from RNAcentral.
GAUGAACGCUGGCGGCGUGCCUAAUACAUGCAAGUCGAGCGAACGGACGAGACUCUUGCUUCUCUGAUGUUAGCGGCGGACGGGUGAGUAACACGUGGAUAACCUACCUAUAAGACUGGGAUAACUUCGGGAAACCGGAGCUAAUACCGGAUAAUAUUUUGAACCUCAUGGUUCAAAAGUAAAAGAUGUUCUUUCUGUCACUUAUAGAUGGAUCCGCGCUGCAUUAGCAAGUUGGUAAGGUAACGGCAUACCAAGGCAAGGAGGGAAAGCCGACCUGACAGGGUGAUCGGACACACUGGAACUGAGACAGGAUCCAGACACCUACAGGAGGCAACAGUAGGGAAUCUUCCGCAAAGGGCGAAAGCCGGACGGAGCAAAGCGGCGUGAGUGAUGAAGGUCUGCGGAUCGGAAAACGCUGUAAUUAGGGAAAAACAUAUGUGUAAGUAACGGUGAAAAUAUUGACGGUACCUAAUCAGAAAGCCACGGCUAACUACGUG